This 418-nucleotide ribosomal RNA is filed under the name Chapsa indica. RNAcentral's name for it is "SSU rRNA". It matches the Rfam family "Bacterial small subunit ribosomal RNA", at positions 347 to 759 of the family's 1533-position model. The record is from RNAcentral. Lineage: Eukaryota; Fungi; Ascomycota; Lecanoromycetes; Ostropales; Graphidaceae.
UGAAGCAGUGAGGAAUAUUGGUCAAUGGCCUAACGGCUGAACCAGCAACUUGGAGGAAUGUACAGGGAAAACUGGUAAAAAUGUGAUGUACCUACUAAUAUUAGUGAUUAAAAUUAGAUUAAUUAAGUUAAUUAAAAUUCAAAGUAGAUUUUGAUUAUGACAGAAUUUGCUUAUGUCUUGACCAAGUCACGUGCCAGCAGUCGCGGUAAUACGUGGAAGAUAAGCGUUAUUCAUGUUUAAAAGGUUUAAAGGGUACCUAGACGGUUAAUUUAACAUUAAAAGUGAAUUAAUUAACUAGAGUUUAAUGUAAGAAAGAUUGAGUACGGUUAGUGUAGUGAUUUAAUACUAUGAUACAACUUUGGAACUGGUAAAGGCGAAGGCCACUUUCUAUGUAAAAACUGACGUUGAAGGACGAAGG